UAGGGAAUCUUCGGCAAUGGGGGGAACCCUGACCGAGCAACGCCGCGUGAGUGAAGAAGGUUUUAGGAUCGUAAAGCUCUGUUGUUAAGGAAGAACGAGUGUGAGAAUGGAAAGUUCAUACUGUGACGGUACUUAACCAGAAAGGGACGGCUAACUACGUGCCAGCAGCCGCGGUAAUACGUAGGUCCCGAGCGUUGUCCGGAUUUAUUGGGCGUAAAGCGAGCGCAGGCGGUUAGAUAAGUCUGAAGUUAAAGUCAGUGGCUCAACCAUUGUAGGCUUUGGAAACUGGUUAACUUGAGGGCAGAAGGGGAGAGGGGAAAUCCAUGUGUAGCGGUGAAAUGCGUAGAUAGAUGGAGGAACACCGGUGGCGAAAGCGGCUCUCUGGUCUGUAACUGACGCUGAGGCUCGAAAGCGUGGGGAGCGAACAGG
Molecule: ribosomal RNA, 429 nt
Filed under: Bacteroidota bacterium
Lineage: Bacteria; Pseudomonadati; Bacteroidota
Description: Bacteroidetes bacterium partial 16S ribosomal RNA
Rfam family: Bacterial small subunit ribosomal RNA
Source: RNAcentral